This 497-nucleotide ribosomal RNA is filed under the name uncultured bacterium. RNAcentral describes it as "partial 16S ribosomal RNA". It matches the Rfam family "Bacterial small subunit ribosomal RNA", at positions 28 to 507 of the family's 1533-position model. The record is from RNAcentral.
GAUGAACGCUGGCGGCGUGCCUAAUACAUGCAAGUCGAGCGAACAGACGAGGAGCUUGCUCCUCUGACGUUAGCGGCGGACGGGUGAGUAACACGUGGAUAACCUACCUAUAAGACUGGGAUAACUUUGGGAAACCGGAGCUAAUACCGGAUAAUAUAUUGAACCGCAUGGUUCAAUAGUGAAAGACGGUUUUGCUGUCACUUAUAGAUGGAUCCGCGCCGCAUUAGCUAGUUGGUAAGGUAACGGCUUACCAAGGCGACGAUGCGUAGCCGACCUGAGAGGGGAAUCGGCCACGCUGGAACUGAAACACGGUCCAGACUCCUGAGGGAGGCAGACGUAGGGAAUCUUCCGCAAUGGGCGAAGGCCUGACGAAGCAACGCCGCGUGAGUGAUGAAGGUCUUCGGACCGUAAAACUCUGUUAUUAGGGAAGAACAAAUGUGUAAGUAACUAUGCACGUCUUGACGGUACCUAAUCAGAAAGCCACGGCUAACUACGUG